UACGUAGGGUGCAAGCGUUGUCCGGAAUUAUUGGGCGUAAAGAGCUCGUAGGCGGCUUGUCGCGUCGGCUGUGAAAACCUGGGGCUCAACCCCGGGCCUGCAGCCGAUACGGGCUAGCUAGAGUGUGGUAGGGGAGAUCGAAUUCCUGGUGUAGCGGUGAAAUGCGCAGAUAUCAGGAGGAACACCGGUGGCGAAGGCGGAUCUCUGGGCCAUUACUGACGCUGAGGAGCGAAAGCGUGGGGAGCGAACAGG
RNAcentral lists this ribosomal RNA (252 nucleotides) under uncultured bacterium. RNAcentral describes it as "partial 16S ribosomal RNA". It matches the Rfam family "Bacterial small subunit ribosomal RNA", at positions 524 to 776 of the family's 1533-position model. The record is from RNAcentral.